Long non-coding RNA from Oncorhynchus tshawytscha (Chinook salmon), 481 nucleotides. NCBI's taxonomy places the organism in Eukaryota, Metazoa, Chordata, Actinopteri, Salmoniformes, Salmonidae. The record is from Ensembl.
AUUCAAUAAACCCUGCGACUACAGAAGAGCUUGUUCAGGAGGGAAGGAAUGUCCAUCUCUUCUGCAAAUAUGAUGGUGUCAGUUGUGAGGACCUCACUCCACUCAAGAAAGAAGAGUACUGUUUAGAGGUAACCCCUGUUACCCUGUCUUACAACUACUCCAGAACAGCUACUGCUGGAGAUGAAUUCUAUUGGUAUCGACAGGACACAGCACAAAGGCCAGAGUUCCUCCUGUACAUCUUGGGUUCAGGGUUUAUAAAUAAAGCAGAUCCUCUGAACACUCGAAUAUCUGCAAAACUGAACAAAGAGAAAAACCGUUUGGAUCUGGAGAUCUCCUCUGCUGUAGUGACAGACUCUGCUCUGUACUACUGUGCUGUGAGGCCCACAGUGACAGGAAACCUACACACACUGUUCAAAAACCUCAGCAGGGACCACAUCAGCAGGAAUGUAUCUAGUUUUUGUUUGAACUUGUGCCUAACCCU